Molecule: ribosomal RNA, 437 nt
Filed under: uncultured bacterium
Lineage: Bacteria
Description: bacterial SSU rRNA
Rfam family: Bacterial small subunit ribosomal RNA
Source: RNAcentral
GACGAACGCUGGCGGCGUGCCUAACACAUGCAAGUCGAGCGGGGACUUGUUGAGAAAGUCUUCGGAUGGAAUCGAUAAGUUCUAGCGGCGGACGGGUGAGCAACGCGUGAGCAACCUGCCCUCCACAGGGGGAUAACGCACCGAAAGGUGCACUAAUACCGCAUAAGACCACGUUUCUGACAUGGGGAUGAGGUCAAAGGAGCAAUCCGGUGGAAGAUGGGCUCGCGUCUGAUUAGCUAGUUGGUGAGGUAACGGCCCACCAAGGCGACGAUCAGUAGCCGACCUGAGAGGGUGAUCGGCCACAUUGGAACUGAGAGACGGUCCAAACUCCUACGGGAGGCAGCAGUGGGGAAUAUUGGGCAAUGGGCGAAAGCCUGACCCAGCAACGCCGCGUGAAGGAAGAAGGUUUUCGGAUCGUAAACUUCUAUCCUUGGUGA